GGUGGCUCAAUGGUAGAGUGCUUGCUUCAUAUGCACGAGGCCCUGGGUUCAAUUCCUCAGCACCA
Molecule: transfer RNA, 65 nt
Filed under: Dipodomys ordii (Ord's kangaroo rat)
Lineage: Eukaryota; Metazoa; Chordata; Mammalia; Rodentia; Heteromyidae
Rfam family: tRNA
About the family: Transfer RNA (tRNA) molecules are approximately 80 nucleotides in length.
Source: Rfam by way of RNAcentral